GAUGAACGCUAGCUACAGGCUUAACACAUGCAAGUCGAGGGGAAACGAUGAGAGAGCUUGCUCUCUUAGGCGUCGACCGGCGCACGGGUGAGUAACGCGUAUCCAACCUACCCAUUACAGGGGGAUAACCUUGCGAAAGUAAGACUAAUACCCCAUGGCAUUUUAUGGUGGCAUCAUUAUAGGAUUAAAGAUUUAUUGGUAAUGGAUGGGGAUGCGUCUGAUUAGCUUGUUGGCGGGGUAACGGCCCACCAAGGCAACGAUCAGUAGGGGUUCUGAGAGGAAGGUCCCCCACAUUGGAACUGAGACACGGUCCAAACUCCUACGGGAGGCGGCAGUGAGGAAUAUUGGUCAAUGGGCGAGAGCUUGAACCAGCCAAGUAGCGUGCAGGAUGACGGCCCUAUGGGUUGUAAACUGCUUUUAUAGGGGAAUAAAGUGAGCUACGUGUAGUUUAUUGCAUGUACCCUAUGAAUAAGGACCGGCUAAUUCCGUG
This 490-nucleotide ribosomal RNA is filed under the name uncultured bacterium. RNAcentral describes it as "partial 16S ribosomal RNA". It matches the Rfam family "Bacterial small subunit ribosomal RNA", at positions 28 to 507 of the family's 1533-position model. The record is from RNAcentral.